This 1143-nucleotide ribosomal RNA is filed under the name Lactobacillus crispatus. RNAcentral's name for it is "partial 23S ribosomal RNA". It matches the Rfam family "Bacterial large subunit ribosomal RNA", at positions 1190 to 2338 of the family's 2925-position model. The record is from RNAcentral. Lineage: Bacteria; Bacillati; Bacillota; Bacilli; Lactobacillales; Lactobacillaceae.
AGUACCGAAACUGUGGAUGUGUUUUAAAGAGCACGUGGUAGGAGAGCGUUCUAAGUGCGGCGAAGGUGAACCGAGAGGAUCAUUGGAGCGCUUAGAAGUGAGAAUGCCGGUAUGAGUAGCGAAAGAUAGGUGAGAAUCCUAUCCGCCGAAAGACUAAGGUUUCCUGGGGCAGGCUCGUCCGCCCAGGGUAAGUCGGGACCUAAGGCAAGGCCGAGAGGCGUAGUCGAUGGACAACAGGUAGAAAUUCCUGUACUGUGUUCAAUCGUUAUGAGCGAUGGAGGGACGCAGGAGGUGAAGCACGCAUCGAGCUGGAUCGAUGUUCAAGCGACAAGUGCGGUUAAGAGUCAAAUGCUUCUAACCAGCAACACGAGUCGUGAUGAGGAGUGAAGUAAAAGUAGCGAAGGUGUGGUAGUCACACUGCCAAGAAAAGCUUCUAGCCAGAGAGAACAUACCCGUACCGCAAACCGACACAGGUAGUCGAGUGGAGAACACUAAGGUGAGCGAGAGAACUCUCGUUAAGGAACUCGGCAAAAUGACCCCGUAACUUCGGAAGAAGGGGUGCUAGCCAAGAGAUUGGUUAGCCGCAGUGAAUAGGCCCAAACAACUGUUUAUCAAAAACACAGGUCUCUGCAAAAUCGUAAGAUGACGUAUAGAGGCUGACACCUGCCCGGUGCUGGAAGGUUAAGAGGAGAGCUUAGCGUAAGCGAAGGUUUGAAUUGAAGCCCCAGUAAACGGCGGCCGUAACUAUAACGGUCCUAAGGUAGCGAAAUUCCUUGUCGGGUAAGUUCCGACCUGCACGAAAGGUGUAAUGAUUUGGGCACUGUCUCAACGAGAGACUCGGUGAAAUUAUAAUACCCGUGAAGAUGCGGGUUACCCGCGACAGGACGGAAAGACCCCAUGGAGCUUCACUGUAGCUUGAUAUUGAGUAUCUUUUAAACAUGUACAGGAUAGGUAGGAGCCAGAGAAGAUAGGACGCUAGUCUUAUUGGAGGCAAUGUUGGGAUACUACCCUUGUUUGAAGGAUGCUCUAACCUCGACCUGUAAGCCAGGCCAGGGACAGUGUCAGGUGGGCAGUUUGACUGGGGCGGUCGCCUCCUAAAGUGUAACGGAGGCGCUCAAAGGUUCCCUCAGAAUGGUUGGAAAU